GAGGUUGUGCUGGGUGCUGUCAUCUUCCUGCACAAUAAAGGCAAGAUUUCAUAAAUAAAGGCAGGAGAGAGCCCCUGCCUGGCUCUGCACACCUCACACCCCCUCCUCUCCCCUCAGAACUGAAGAGUGAGAAAUCCAUCGCUCUGGAAACUUUCUGUGUGCCUGCUACCUUCAAACCCUUCCUGCUCUUGGAUUUCCUUCUGCCAGCCCUGCUCCAGCCCCUCGGGUGUCACCUGGCCGUGUCUGAACCUCUCAGGUGCUGCUUGAGCAGCAAAGCUGGAUCCAUUCUCUGUUCUGGAGAAGCCACAGCAAUAUCAGGGAAAAUGAUCCCAUUAAUCCCUGCUUGUGGAAGGACGUGAAGCUUUUUCAGAUCAUUCCUUGUGCUGCCACUGCCUGUUAAAGGGAUGGCACAGAGCAGAGUGAGCCUGCUCUGGGGGUGCAGAACCUGAGGACAAAUCCCACCCAGGACUGUCUCAGUGGCUCUGUUCUCAGCAGCUUUUUUUCCCAUGGGAUGCAUCUGCUGGAGUGCAGGGAAAAUAAAGAUCCCCUGAAACUCCCCA
Molecule: long non-coding RNA, 560 nt
Filed under: Cyanistes caeruleus (blue tit)
Lineage: Eukaryota; Metazoa; Chordata; Aves; Passeriformes; Paridae
Description: lncRNA (ENSCCEG00000007292.1)
Source: RNAcentral